This 466-nucleotide ribosomal RNA is filed under the name uncultured bacterium. Its description in RNAcentral is "partial 16S ribosomal RNA". It matches the Rfam family "Bacterial small subunit ribosomal RNA", at positions 28 to 507 of the family's 1533-position model. The record is from RNAcentral.
GACGAACGCUGGCGGUGUGCUUAACACAUGCAAGUCGAACGGUAAGGCCCUUUCGGGGGUACACGAGUGGCGAACGGGUGAGUAACACGUGAGUAACCUGCCCUCAUCUCUGGGAUAACAGUCGGAAACGGUUGCUAAUACUGGAUAUGAGCUUGCAAGGCAUCUUGUGGGUUGGAAAGAUUUUUUUGGUUGGGGAUGGACUCGCGGCCUAUCAGCUUGUUGGUGAGGUAGUGGCUCACCAAGGCUUCGACGGGUAGCCGGCCUGAGAGGGCGACCGGCCACAUUGGGACUGAGAUACGGCCCAAACUCCUACGGGAGGCAGCAGUGGGGAAUAAUGCACAAUGGACGGAAGUCUGAUGCAGCAACGCCGCGUGCGGGAUGACGGCCUUCGGGUUGUAAACCGCUUUCAAUUGUGACGAAGCUUUUUGUGACGGUAGCAGUAGAAGAAGCACCGGCUAACUACGUG